Molecule: long non-coding RNA, 159 nt
Organism: Lethenteron reissneri (Far Eastern brook lamprey)
Lineage: Eukaryota; Metazoa; Chordata; Hyperoartia; Petromyzontiformes; Petromyzontidae
Source: RefSeq, a predicted model, not a curated record
CUGUACGAUCAACCCAGCCACCCAGAUGCGGUGAGACGGAGCUGCGGAGAGACCGUGCGUGCGUGCAGACACAAGCGCAGAUGCAAAGAGACAAGGGAUGAAGACAAACCCUGGGCACCUCAUUUGACCUGCGAGCAAUGCAAAAAAAACUCUGGAAGG